Molecule: transfer RNA, 83 nt
Filed under: Perca flavescens (yellow perch)
Lineage: Eukaryota; Metazoa; Chordata; Actinopteri; Perciformes; Percidae
Rfam family: tRNA
About the family: Transfer RNA (tRNA) molecules are approximately 80 nucleotides in length.
Source: Rfam by way of RNAcentral
ACCAGCAUGGCCGAGUGGUUAAGGCGUUGCACUCAAGAUACAAUGGACAGUUGUCUUCUCGGGUUCAAAUCCCACUCUUGGUA